Molecule: unclassified non-coding RNA, 256 nt
Filed under: Hevea brasiliensis (rubber tree)
Lineage: Eukaryota; Viridiplantae; Streptophyta; Magnoliopsida; Malpighiales; Euphorbiaceae
Source: RNAcentral
GCGGUUGGCAUUGCCAUCGCUGUCGCGCUUGUCCUGUUAAUUGACCGUACGCUGAUCGGUGCCACGCUGCGGGCCGGUGUCGACAACCGUGAGAUGGUCACCGCGCUCGGCAUCAACAUCAAUGUUCUGUUUGCGCUGGUGUUCGGAUUCGGUUCCGCUCUCGCCGGCUUUGCGGGUGUCGUCGCCGCACCGGUCAUGAGCAUCUACUCCAACAUGGGUAUCGGAAUCGUCGUAACGACGUUCGUGGUCGUGGUGG